This 75-nucleotide transfer RNA is filed under the name Candidatus Pelagibacterales bacterium. Its description in RNAcentral is "tRNA-His". It matches the Rfam family "tRNA". From Rfam's summary of the family: Transfer RNA (tRNA) molecules are approximately 80 nucleotides in length. The record is from RNAcentral. Lineage: Bacteria; Pseudomonadati; Pseudomonadota; Alphaproteobacteria; Candidatus Pelagibacterales.
GUAGGAAUAGCUCAGUUGGUUCAGAGUAUCAGUUUGUGGAUCUGAGGGUCGAGAGUUCAAGUCUCUCUUUUUACC